UACGGAGGGUGCGAACGUUAAUCGGAAUUACUGGGCGUAAAGCGCGCGUAGGCGGUUCGACAAGUGGGAUGUGAAAGCCCUGGGCUCAACCUGGGAACUGCAUUCCAAACUAUCGGGCUAGAGUGUGGUAGAGGGAGGUGGAAUUUCCUGUGUAGCGGUGAAAUGCGUAGAUAUAGGAAGGAACACCAGUGGCGAAGGCGGCCUCCUGGACCAACACUGACGCUGAGGUGCGAAAGCGUGGGGAGCAAACAGGAUUAGAUACCCCCGUAGUCC
Molecule: ribosomal RNA, 273 nt
Filed under: uncultured bacterium
Lineage: Bacteria
Description: partial 16S ribosomal RNA
Rfam family: Bacterial small subunit ribosomal RNA
Source: RNAcentral